RNAcentral lists this ribosomal RNA (163 nucleotides) under uncultured bacterium. Its description in RNAcentral is "partial 16S ribosomal RNA". The record is from RNAcentral.
GCACAGAGUUAGCCGGCUGCUUAUUCUGCGAGUAACGUCCACUCUCCAGUAGUAUUAAUACUGGGAGCCUCCUCCUCGCUUAAAGUGCUUUACAACCAGAAGGCCUUCUUCACACACGCGGCAUGGCUGGAUCAGGGUUGCCCCCAUUGUCCAAUAUUCCCCA